This 990-nucleotide ribosomal RNA is filed under the name Streptococcus agalactiae. RNAcentral describes it as "bacterial LSU rRNA". It matches the Rfam family "Bacterial large subunit ribosomal RNA", at positions 1 to 995 of the family's 2925-position model. The record is from RNAcentral. Lineage: Bacteria; Bacillati; Bacillota; Bacilli; Lactobacillales; Streptococcaceae.
UAAGGUUAAGUUAAUAAGGGCGCACGGUGGAUGCCUUGGCACUAGAAGCCGAAGAAGGACGUGACUAACGACGAAAUGCUUUGGGGAGCUGUAAGUAAGCGCUGAUCCAGAGAUGUCCGAAUGGGGGAACCCACUAGUUAAUGACUAGUAUCCAUAUCUGUUAAGGAUAUGAGAAGGAAGACGCAGUGAACUGAAACAUCUAAGUAGCUGCAGGAAGAGAAAGCAAAAGCGAUUGCCUUAGUAGCGGCGAGCGAAACGGCAGGAGGGCAAACCGAAGUGUUUACACUUCGGGGUUGUAGGACUGCGAUAUAGGAUUAAUCAUUAUAGAAGAAUUACCUGGGAAGGUAAGCCAAAGAGAGUAACAGCCUCGUAUUUAAAAUGAUAGAUUAACCUUAGCAGUAUCCUGAGUACGGCGAGACACGCGAAAUCUCGUCGGAAUCUGGGAGGACCAUCUCCCAACCCUAAAUACUCUCUAGUGACCGAUAGUGAACCAGUACCGUGAGGGAAAGGUGAAAAGCACCCCGGGAGGGGAGUGAAAUAGAACCUGAAACCGUGUGCCUACAACAAGUUCGAGCCCGUUAAUGGGUGAGAGCGUGCCUUUUGUAGAAUGAACCGGCGAGUUACGAUAUGAUGCGAGGUUAAGUUGAAGAGACGGAGCCGUAGGGAAACCGAGUCUUAAUAGGGCGCCAUAGUAUCAUGUUGUAGACCCGAAACCAUGUGACCUACCCAUGAGCAGGUUGAAGGUGAGGUAAAACUCACUGGAGGACCGAACCAGGGCACGUUGAAAAGUGCUUGGAUGACUUGUGGGUAGCGGAGAAAUUCCAAACGAACUUGGAGAUAGCUGGUUCUCUCCGAAAUAGCUUUAGGGCUAGCGUCGAUGUUAAGUCUCUUGGAGGUAGAGCACUGUUUGGGUGAGGGGUCCAUCCCGGAUUACCAAUCUCAGAUAAACUCCGAAUGCCAACGAGAUAUAAUCGGCAGUCAGACUGCGAG